Cuculus canorus (common cuckoo) is the source of this 1196-nucleotide long non-coding RNA. RefSeq lists it as uncharacterized. NCBI's taxonomy places the organism in Eukaryota, Metazoa, Chordata, Aves, Cuculiformes, Cuculidae. The transcript is spliced from 4 exons. The record is from RefSeq and is a predicted model, not a curated record.
UUUAAAGAAGUACUGGGAAGUUCAAAACUCCCAAAUCCUGGCAGUGGCUAAAGAAGGAGAAAGGAAAGUUUUGAACUGAGGACAACGUGAUUUAUCUGGCAAGAGCUUCGUGGAGGAAGGUCAGCCCAAAGUGACAGAAAUGCAGGCAACAGGAAUUGCUACCCACUUUGCAAACUUCGGCCUGAGUGUGUAAUGAAGGAUGAUUGUGCUACCUGGUGUGAGCAAGCGGAUUUAUCUCAGAGGCCCUCAAUUCCAGAAGUGAAUUUCCUUGAAGGUUACAUGGGAACUGCUGUGAGAAGUCCAGCUGCAUCCCCUCAACUCCUUGCUACUACAGCCUUAAUUCAAGACUUCAAGCAACACUGUGUUUUGCUCCAGACUGUGCAAUUGUAGCGCUUAACUCUUCAUUAUCACUCUGAGAGUCGCUGACACAUCUGAGAUUUUAAAUCUGUGUUAAAAUACUUCCAGCUUGGGUUCUUUUGGUUUUGGUUUUUGUUUUGUUGGUUUUUUUUGUAUUAAAAUGUGGGGUGUUAGGAAACAUUAUCAUCAGCUUCUUACCUCCAACCAGAGCCUUGUUUGUGAGUAGGAAGUGUGAAUGGGUUUGGAUUCCAAACACGUGCCCACCCAUGUGCGCGGAACUCUUAAUUAAGGACUAUGCCACCAGCCCCUAUAUAUUCAUUUUUCUUAAAUAUAUUCCAGAAAAACCUAGUAGGUUUAUAAAGAUUAUCAUACCAUUAAAUGAUAAUAGUAGAAAAGAGUUUUUACUGAACCAGAAAACAAGCAAAUUAAUAGAAGCAGAGAAAUGACAGCCUGCUGUGAAACCAAUGGUUACAAAUUGGUUUCCUCUAGUCACAGUUGCCUUUAACUGCUUUAGAUUCUCAGCAGCUUUUCAUUAGGAAUCUCCAUGUGCUCUUUUCAAGAAGAAAAUGCAUAACCCCUUUAUUAUUGGAAAUGCAGGUAGAAUGUGCAUAAUAUCAAUUUGAGAUUGGUAAAUUGGCAAAUUGAUAUUUAAUGUCUUUUAGGGGCUAGUUUCUCUACAGGGUUAGGUGGAUUUCUGACAACAUAGGUAUAAACCACAAAGUACAGUUGUUUUUGUGGUAUUUAUGAGAUUUGUGAUUAGGGCUGAUGAAAAAAAUAUUUUAAGUAUUUUACAAGCUUUUGUUUUGAGUUUUUUUCCAUUUCUGUCAGAUAAAAACAUC